AGAACGAACGCUGGCGGCAGGCUUAACACAUGCAAGUCGAGCGCCCCGCAAGGGGAGCGGCAGACGGGAGAGUAACACGUGGGAACGUACCCUUUGGUUCGGAACAACACAGGGAAACUUGUGCUAAUACCGGAUAAGCCCUUACGGGGAAAGAUUUAUUGCCAAAGGAUCGGCCCGCGUCUGAUUAGCUUGUUGGUGAGGUAACGGCUCACCAAGGCUACGAUCAGUAGCUGGUCUGAGAGGAUGAUCAGCCUCACUGGGACUGAGACACGGCCCAGACUCCUACGGGAGGCAGCAGUGGGGAAUAUUGGACAAUGGGCGCAAGCCUGAUCCAGCCAUGCCGCGUGGAUGAUGAAGGCCCUAGGGUUGUAAAGUCCUUUCGACGGGGAAGAUAAUGACGGUACCCGUAGAAGAACGCCCCGGCUAACUUCGUGCCAGCAGCCGC
RNAcentral lists this ribosomal RNA (445 nucleotides) under uncultured bacterium. RNAcentral's name for it is "SSU rRNA". It matches the Rfam family "Bacterial small subunit ribosomal RNA", at positions 26 to 518 of the family's 1533-position model. The record is from RNAcentral.